RNAcentral lists this ribosomal RNA (442 nucleotides) under uncultured bacterium. RNAcentral's name for it is "partial 16S ribosomal RNA". It matches the Rfam family "Bacterial small subunit ribosomal RNA", at positions 338 to 795 of the family's 1533-position model. The record is from RNAcentral.
CCUACGGGGGGCAGCAGUGGGGAAUAUUGGGCAAUGGGCGCAAGCCUGACCCAGCAACGCCGCGUGAAGGAAGAAGGCUUUCGGGUUGUAAACUUCUUUUAAGCGGGAAGAGCAGAAGCCGGUACCUCUUGAAUAAGCCACGGCUAACUACGGGCCAGCAGCCGCGGUAAUACGUAGGUGGCAAGCGUUGUCCGGAUUUACUGGGUGUAAAGGGCGGGUAGCCGGGCUGACAAGUCAGAUGUGAAAUUCCGGGGCUCAACCCCCGACCUGCAUUUGAAACUGGUGGUCUUGAGUAUCGGAGAGGCAGGCGGAAUUCGUGGUGUAGCGGUGAAAUGCGUAGAUAUUAGGAGGAACACCAGUGGCGAAGGCGGCCUGCUGGACGACAACUGACGGUGAGGCGCGAAAGCGUGGGGAGCAAACAGGAUUAGAUACCCGGGUAGUC